GAACGCUGGCGGAAUGCUUUACACAUGCAAGUCGAACGGCAGCACGGACUUCGGUCUGGUGGCGAGUGGCGAACGGGUGAGUAAUAUAUCGGAACGUGCCCAGUCGUGGGGGAUAACGUAGUGAAAAUUACGCUAAUACCGCAUACGAUCUAUGGAUGAAAGCGGGGGAUCGCAAGACCUCGCGCGAUUGGAGCGGCCGAUAUCAGAUUAGGUAGUUGGUGGGGUAAAGGCUCACCAAGCCAACGAUCUGUAGCUGGUCUGAGAGGACGACCAGCCACACUGGAACUGAGACACGGUCCAGACUCCUACGGGAGGCAGCAGUGGGGAAUUUUGGACAAUGGACGCAAGUCUGAUCCAGCCAUUCCGCGUGCAGGAUGAAGGCCCUCGGGUUGUAAACUGCUUUUGUACGGAACGAAAAGGUUUGUCUUAAUACGAUGAGCUCAUGACGGUACCGUAAGAAUAAGCACCGGCUAACUACGUG
RNAcentral lists this ribosomal RNA (481 nucleotides) under uncultured bacterium. Its description in RNAcentral is "bacterial SSU rRNA". It matches the Rfam family "Bacterial small subunit ribosomal RNA", at positions 31 to 507 of the family's 1533-position model. The record is from RNAcentral.